RNAcentral lists this ribosomal RNA (1435 nucleotides) under uncultured bacterium. RNAcentral's name for it is "partial 16S ribosomal RNA". It matches the Rfam family "Bacterial small subunit ribosomal RNA". The record is from RNAcentral.
UGAGUUUGAUCCUGGCUCAGAACGAACGCUGGCGGCAGGCCUAACACAUGCAAGUCGAGCGCUACCUUCGGGUGGAGCGGCGGACGGGUUAGUAACGCGUGGGAACAUACCCUUUUCUAAGGAAUAGCCACUGGAAACGGUGAGUAAUACCUUAUAAGCCCUUCGGGGGAAAGAUUUAUCGGUAAAGGAUUGGCCCGCGUUAGAUUAGAUAGUUGGUGGGGUAAUGGCCUACCAAGUCUACGAUCUAUAGCUGAUUUGAGAGGAUGAUCAGCCACAUUGGGACUGAGACACGGCCCAAACUCCUACGGGAGGCAGCAGUGGGGAAUCUUGCACAAUGGAGGAAACUCUGAUGCAGCGAUGCCGCGUGAGUGAAGAAGGCCCUUGGGUUGUAAAGCUCUUUCGUCGGGGAAGAAAAUGACUGUACCCGAAUAAGAAGGUCCGGCUAACUUCGUGCCAGCAGCCGCGGUAAUACGAAGGGACCUAGCGUAGUUCGGAAUUACUGGGCUUAAAGAGUUCGUAGGUGGUUGAAAAAGUUGGUGGUGAAAUCCCAGAGCUUAACUCUGGAACUGCCAUCAAAACUUUUCAGCUAGAGUAUGAUAGAGGAAAGCAGAAUUUCUAGUGUAGAGGUGAAAUUCGUAGAUAUUAGAAAGAAUACCAAUUGCGAAGGCAGCUUUCUGGAUCAUUACUGACACUGAGGAACGAAAGCAUGGGUAGCGAAGAGGAUUAGAUACCCUCGUAGUCCAUGCCGUAAACGAUGUGUGUUAGACGUUGGAAAUUUAUUUUCAGUGUCGCAGGGAAACCGAUAAACACACCGCCUGGGGAGUACGACCGCAAGGUUAAAACUCAAAUGAAUUGACGGGGACCCGCACAAGUAGUGGAGCAUGUGGUUUAAUUCGAAGAUACGCGCAGAACCUUACCAACACUUGACAUGUUCGUCGCGACUCUAAGAGAUUAGAGUUUUCGGUUCGGCCGGACGAAACACAGGUGCUGCAUGGCUGUCGUCAGCUCGUGUCGUGAGAUGUUGGGUUAAGUCCCGCAACGAGCGCAACCCUCACUUUUAGUUGCCAUCAUUAAGUUGGGCACUCUGAAAGAACUGCCAGUGAUAAGCUGGAGGAAGGUGGGGAUGACGUCAAGUCCUCAUGGCCCUUACGUGUUGGGCUACACACGUGCUACAAUGGCAUCUACAACAGGAAGCAAAACGGCAACGUUAAGCAAAUCCCGAAAAGAUGCCUCAGUUCGGAUUGCACUCUGCAACUCGAGUGCAUGAAGCUGGAAUUACUAGUAAUCGUGGAUCAGCGUGCCACGGUGAAUGCGUUCCCGGGUCUUGUACACACCGCCCGUCACACCAUGGGAGUUGGUUCUACCUUAAGGCAAGGUUUUAAACCCUUGACCACGGUAUAGUCAGCGACUGGGGUGAAGUCGUAACAAGGUAACC